RNAcentral lists this long non-coding RNA (558 nucleotides) under Mytilus galloprovincialis (Mediterranean mussel). Lineage: Eukaryota; Metazoa; Mollusca; Bivalvia; Mytilida; Mytilidae. The record is from RNAcentral.
GAUAUCUGUUGCAUAGAUGAGAUUUUGCAUUUUGCACAAGUUUACUUUUUGGAGUUUCAUGAUACGUAAAUGGGAGCGUUUUUCUCCCAGCGUUAUAAAGACUGUGAUUUUGGAUGAGAAGUAGAAGCAUAAUGAUAAUACAACUUAACCAUGAUGACUGUUUUUUCCUGUUCUCUUUGCUCAACAAUUUUAAUUUGUUUUUGAAUAUCCUGUGAAUAUCGAGGAAGAAGUGCACAAGAAGAUGAAAUAUUUGUGCAGUGUAUAAUCUACAUUUGAUUGGAUUUAACAGACAUAAUAGUAUUGGAUUUGUGAUAAUGUUUGGACUAUGUGUGUGUGAAAAUUUAAUUCUAGAAUUUCUCUGAUCUAGUGUGAAUGCCUUGGCAUAAGGAACUGCUGAUGUAUCAUAACUCGUUUUUUGCAUAAUUUUUUUUUUGCGGAUAUUGUUUACAAAACAUUUGAUAGUUGCGAUCCAGCUUUUAUUAUGACGUUUACAUGUAGUUGGCGGAUAUAUGGAAAUUUGUUUGUCGUAAAAUGAAUUGUUAAUUUUAAAAAAAUGAG